ACUUAUUUAAUAUAAAAAGUAUAUUAAGCUUCCAACUUAAAUGUUUCACUAGAAAAUAAGUA
This 62-nucleotide transfer RNA is filed under the name Empoascanara defecta. RNAcentral's name for it is "tRNA-Gly". RNAcentral also lists the same sequence under 1 other name. Lineage: Eukaryota; Metazoa; Arthropoda; Insecta; Hemiptera; Cicadellidae. The record is from RNAcentral.